GGCCGCGGGAAUUCGAUUCAGGCCUAACACAUGCAAGUCGAGCGGGGUUUUCGGACCUAGCGGCGGACGGGUGAGUAAUGCGUAGGAAGCUACCCGACAGAGGGGGAUACCAGUUGGAAACGACUGUUAAUACCGCAUAAUGUCUACGGACCAAAGUGUGGGACCUUCGGGCCACAUGCUGUCGGAUGCGCCUACGUGGGAUUAGCUAGUUGGUGAGGUAAUGGCUCACCAAGGCGACGAUCCCUAGCUGGUUUGAGAGGAUGAUCAGCCACACUGGAACUGAGACACGGUCCAGACUCCUACGGGAGGCAGCAGCGGGGAAUAUUGGACAAUGGGCGCAAGCCUGAUCCAGCCAUGCCGCGUGUGUGAAGAAGGCCUUCGGGUUGUAAAGCACUUUCAGCGAGGAGGAAGGGUUGUGUGUUAAUAGUACACAGCCUUGACGUACUCGCAGA
Molecule: ribosomal RNA, 452 nt
Filed under: uncultured bacterium
Lineage: Bacteria
Description: bacterial SSU rRNA
Rfam family: Bacterial small subunit ribosomal RNA
Source: RNAcentral